UACGAAGGGGGCUAGCGUUGCUCGGAAUCACUGGGCGUAAAGGGUGCGUAGGCGGGUCUUUAAGUCAGGGGUGAAAUCCUGGAGCUCAACUCCAGAACUGCCUUUGAUACUGAGGAUCUUGAGUUUCGGGAGAGGUGAGUGGAACUGCGAGUGUAGAGGUGAAAUUCGUAGAUAUUCGCAAGAACACCAGUGGCGAAGGCGGCUCACUGGCCCGAUACUGACGCUGAGGCACGAAAGCGUGGGGAGCAAACAGG
RNAcentral lists this ribosomal RNA (254 nucleotides) under uncultured bacterium. Its description in RNAcentral is "partial 16S ribosomal RNA". It matches the Rfam family "Bacterial small subunit ribosomal RNA", at positions 524 to 776 of the family's 1533-position model. The record is from RNAcentral.